This 253-nucleotide ribosomal RNA is filed under the name uncultured bacterium. Its description in RNAcentral is "partial 16S ribosomal RNA". It matches the Rfam family "Bacterial small subunit ribosomal RNA", at positions 524 to 776 of the family's 1533-position model. The record is from RNAcentral.
UACGAAGGGGGCGAGCGUUGUUCGGAAUCACUGGGCGUAAAGGGCGCGUAGGCGGCCCUCUUUGUCGCGUGUGAAAGCCCCGGGCUCAACCUGGGAACGGCGCGCGAAACGGGAGGGCUGGAGUUCGGGAGAGGAGAGUGGAAUUCCCAGUGUAGAGGUGAAAUGCGCAGAUAUCAGGAGGAACACCAAUUGCGAAGGCAGCUCGCUGGAACGUAACUGACGCUGAGACGCGAAAGCGUGGGGAGCAAACAGG